CUGGGCGUGAAGAUAAAACCAACAUCUGACUUACAGUGAAGGUGUUUGUAUUCAUACUGUCUGACCCAG
Limanda limanda (common dab) is the source of this 69-nucleotide small nucleolar RNA. The record is from RefSeq and is a predicted model, not a curated record. NCBI's taxonomy places the organism in Eukaryota, Metazoa, Chordata, Actinopteri, Pleuronectiformes, Pleuronectidae.